Molecule: long non-coding RNA, 265 nt
Filed under: Marmota monax (woodchuck)
Lineage: Eukaryota; Metazoa; Chordata; Mammalia; Rodentia; Sciuridae
Source: RNAcentral
CACUUUCUCAGAUCACAACAUCCAGAAAGUCCACUUGGUGCUUCACGUGCAAGGGCGCAUCAUUGAGCCUUUCCUGCGCCAGCUUGCCCGGAAGUACAACUGCGACAGGAUCAUCCAUUGCAGGUGCCACGCAUGCCUGCACCCAUGCUGUUAGCUGCCACAAGAAGUGUGGCCACACCAACCUCCGCCCCAAGAAGAAGGUCAAGCAAAGCCCCUCUGCUAGCUCCUUUCCCCAGAAGGUGGCCUCCUGCCCAAGCCCCAUAUA